UACACAUGCAGUCGAACGGCAGCGCGGGGCAACCUGGCGGCGAGUGGCGAACGGGUGAGUAAUAUAUCGGAACGUACCCAAGAGUGGGGGAUAACGUAGCGAAAGUUACGCUAAUACCGCAUACGAUCCAAGGAUGAAAGCAGGGGAUCUUCGGACCUUGUGCUCCUGGAGCGGCCGAUAUCUGAUUAGCUAGUUGGUGAGGUAAAGGCUCACCAAGGCCACGAUCAGUAGCUGGUCUGAGAGGACGACCAGCCACACUGGAACUGAGACACGGUCCAGACUCCUACGGGAGGCAGCAGUGGGGAAUUUUGGACAAUGGGCGAAAGCCUGAUCCAGCAAUGCCGCGUGAGUGAAGAAGGCCUUCGGGUUGUAAAGCUCUUUUGUCAGGGAAGAAACGGUGAGGGCUAAUAUCCNUCGCUAAUGACGGUACCUGAAGAAUAAGCACCGGCUAACUACGUGCCAGCAGCCGCGGUAAUACGUAGGGUGCAAGCGUUAAUCGGAAUUACUGGGCGUAAAGCGUGCGCAGGCGGUUUUGUAAGUCUGACGUGAAAUCCCCGGGCUCAACCUGGGAAUUGCGUUGGAGACUGCAAGGCUAGAAUCUGGCAGAGGGGGGUAGAAUUCCACGUGUAGCAGUGAAAUGCGUAGAGAUGUGGAGGAACACCGAUGGCGAAGGCAGCCCCCUGGGUCAAGAUUGACGCUCAUGCACGAAAGCGUGGGGAGCAAACAGGAUUAGAUACCCUGGUAGUCCACGCCCUAAACGAUGUCUACUAGUUGUCGGGUUUUAAUUAACUUGGUAACGCA
Molecule: ribosomal RNA, 801 nt
Filed under: unidentified microorganism
Description: bacterial SSU rRNA
Rfam family: Bacterial small subunit ribosomal RNA
Source: RNAcentral